This 496-nucleotide ribosomal RNA is filed under the name uncultured bacterium. Its description in RNAcentral is "partial 16S ribosomal RNA". It matches the Rfam family "Bacterial small subunit ribosomal RNA", at positions 28 to 506 of the family's 1533-position model. The record is from RNAcentral.
GAUGAACGCUGGCGGCGUGCCUAAUACAUGCAAGUCGAGCGAACAGAUGAGGAGCUUGCUCCUCUGACGUUAGCGGCGGACGGGUGAGUAACACGUGGAUAACCUACCUAUAAGACUGGGAUAACUUCGGGAAACCGGAGCUAAUACCGGAUAAUAUAUUGAACCGCAUGGUUCAAUAGUGAAAGACGGUUUUGCUGUCACUUAUAGAUGGAUCCGCGCCGCAUUAGCUAGUUGGUAAGGUAACGGCUUACCAAGGCAACGAUGCGUAGCCGACCUGAGAGGGGGAUCGGCCACACUGGAACUGAGACACGGUCCAGACUCCGACGGGAGGCAGCAGUAGGGAAUCUUCCGCAAUGGGCGAAAGCCUGACGGAGCAACGCCGCGUGAGUGAUGAAGGUCUGCGGAUCGUAAAACUCUGUUAUUAGGGAAGAACAAAUGUGUAAGUAACUAUGCACGUUUUGACGGUACCUAAUCAGAAAGCCACGGCUAACUACGG